GCCUGGGUGGCUCAGUUGGUUGAGCAUCUGACUUUAGCUCAGGUUAAGAUCUCAUGGCCAGUGAGCUCGAGCCCCACAUCAGGCU
This 85-nucleotide transfer RNA is filed under the name Felis catus (domestic cat). It matches the Rfam family "tRNA". From Rfam's summary of the family: Transfer RNA (tRNA) molecules are approximately 80 nucleotides in length. Their secondary structure includes four short double-helical elements and three loops (D, anti-codon, and T loops). The record is from Rfam by way of RNAcentral. Lineage: Eukaryota; Metazoa; Chordata; Mammalia; Carnivora; Felidae.